This 287-nucleotide long non-coding RNA is filed under the name Mytilus galloprovincialis (Mediterranean mussel). Lineage: Eukaryota; Metazoa; Mollusca; Bivalvia; Mytilida; Mytilidae. The record is from RNAcentral.
GUACACUGGACCGUUAAAUUGGGGUCAGGACUCCAACUUCAUCAAAAACAACCUUCACCAAAAACUCUAACAUGAAGCGGGACAGACGGACGGACGAACGGACAGACGAACGAAAGAGCAAACGGACGAACGAACGAAAAGUUAGACUGACGAAUGAACCAACGUACAUGUACAAAUAGACGAGCAAACGGACACACAGGCCGAAAAACAUAAUGCCCCUAUUUGGAGCCUAAAAUAAAACUGAAUAUGGGAAUGAUUGUGUCAAAAAGACGUCAAAACAACCCGAC